Betta splendens (Siamese fighting fish) is the source of this 1787-nucleotide long non-coding RNA. RefSeq lists it as uncharacterized. The transcript is spliced from 2 exons. The record is from RefSeq and is a predicted model, not a curated record. Lineage: Eukaryota; Metazoa; Chordata; Actinopteri; Anabantiformes; Osphronemidae.
AAAAUGUCUAAAAAGUGGAUUUUGCAUGAUAUGGGCCCUUUAAAGUCAUGUUCUGUGGAAAAAUAAAAUGAAAUAAAGGUCUUUGAUUAAACUAACUGACAAACAUGUCUCCUCAAUGUAGUAAUAAACAUAGUUGCAGAAGAACAAAUACAGCUCUAAUAACAUCGGACAUCAAACAUGUUUGCCACAUCAAGGCCACUUAUACAUUAUUAUCCAGAGAGAAACACAAUUACACACCUUUGAUUAAAUAAGUUUUAUUUGACAAUAAAACAUAGACUGUGAUCCUGAACAACCACGUAUCAGAGAGGGUUUGAUGGUCAGUCUGCUCAAGCAGUUCUCACGCACAACCAGCAGAUGCCGUUGUUCUGACUGUGUCAUGAUGGUGUCGAGCAAUGUGUCGAUUUCAGCCCAACUGUGUCAUAGUUGCUCAGUGAUUCAUGAGGCUUCGAUUUCGCCAUCUCUAGUGUCCCACUGUGACGGUCACCCCGCCACAGUGAGUUUAAUGUGUUACCUUUCUGUGUUCUGGGGAUUCCUCCUCUGGGUGGAAAGAGCGGGCGCCACCUAAGCAGGGCUUAAAGGGCCCAUAUCAUGCAAAAUCCACUUUUUAGACAUUUUGGAGCGUCCCUAUGACUCUAUGGGUCACAUAUACACACACUGAGCACGGUAGAAAUGCAUUUCCUGCUUUUUUCACAUUUUAAAAACGUAAAUUUUCUCAUCCAAUGAAAACAGCCACGACCUACUCUGAGGUCGUGUCCCAGUUGUCGUCACACUGGUUGAAAGUUCUCCUUGCAAAUCCUGAACCACCACCCCCACAAUGAUCCCGAACCAAAACUGGACUUCCGCCAUUUCCCCUCUCUCACUCACCGUGAACAGACCAGCACGGCAGCGCCCAAGUCCUCCCAUAGAAAUAGUUCGGUUCUUAGGUGUUCUAACCAACACCAAAGUCUCUUCACUUUACCAAGGGAUCAACAAGUGAGGAUUUGUGGGUCACUUUUAUUUUUAACGGACCGGUGCCAGAAACACUGCCUCAGCAUUUAUACGUAUGUGCAUUUCAAACGAGGGUGCGUACAAUGCUGGAUUUGUUUCACGGCUCCUGUUGGAAAAAAAGGACCUAUUCCUAAAGUCCGUCAUCCACUCACUGCAGAGGGCAAAUCCCAGUUGCCCACAUGCAAGGAGGCUGUCAAACAGAGAAAUCACUGCAGACUGUUGGUACACAGACAUCUGCUGCCCAGCUCAGGAGUGAAGGUAUGUAAGUUUGUAUGUACCAACAGUAAGAUAGGUAAUAGAAGAUUUUAAUUGGUAUAUGCUGUUUAGAUUUUAUAUUUGAAUUGUAACAACUGUUUAUCUGUUGUUUUAGCACAGACAGGCCUGUCCUCUUGUUUGGUUUAAUUUUUUGUCUGGUAUUGUGUGUUCUUACAUUAGAGAAGGUUUUGACCUACAUAAUAAUUAACAUUUCACUAAUCUACAAUUCUGAUUGCACUACCUUUUGUUUUGAUGAGGUGAUGGUGAGGACAGCCACAGCUUCCAUCUGGUAGAGGACUGCUUCCGCUCAGUCUUCCAAAUAGUGAUGAGAACAAGGAUCACCACAUCUCCCUGUUUACCCUACUUUCAUGCAUUUCGUCUGCAAGGCCCUGCAAAAGCUUCUCCUUCGUCCUCAAACCCCCAGACUUCUUAAUUAACUCAGUAACCUAUACAUUGCACAUUGGAGUGUGAAGGUAACAGUUUGUUCUAGCUUUGGAGUAGUGGUGUAUUUUUUUGGUUUACAAUAAAGUUGGCUUUAACUAUUA